GAAGGGAUUUAUAAUCCUCAUUGAUUCUGUUCUUGGAGUUGCUAACCAAAUUCUGGAUGAACAAAAGUACUUGUUAACAUACAAAUGUUCUCAAGAUCACUUGGAGCUGUUCGUUAAUGCUGUACGCCGUACUGCAGGAUGGAAUAACAAUCCUACAGCUCAAGUGUUUACUGCAUCAUUUAGAAAGAUUAUUUCCCAUUGUAGAGCCCUAACAGUGUCUAAGCAUGGGAACUGUUCAGUUCUUGAAGAUACAAGACUGCUUAGAUGUGCUUUAGAUGGUUAUGUGCCACCUGUCACUGAACACAAUGAGGGCAAUGGUGAAUCAAGUCUAUCUGCGUUAGAUCUUACCUCUACUCGUUGCCGCUGGCAACCUUUGAUAAAACUGUCCUGUUUA
Molecule: long non-coding RNA, 394 nt
Organism: Patella vulgata (common limpet)
Lineage: Eukaryota; Metazoa; Mollusca; Gastropoda; Patellidae
Exons: 3
Source: RefSeq, a predicted model, not a curated record